AGUCCCCUAGUGUAGCGGUCCAUCAUGGCGGGUUCUGAUCCCUCCGACCUCGGUUCAAAUCCGGGGGGGGCUACCA
RNAcentral lists this transfer RNA (76 nucleotides) under Candidatus Poseidoniaceae archaeon. Its description in RNAcentral is "tRNA-Gln". It matches the Rfam family "tRNA". From Rfam's summary of the family: Transfer RNA (tRNA) molecules are approximately 80 nucleotides in length. Their secondary structure includes four short double-helical elements and three loops (D, anti-codon, and T loops). Further hydrogen bonds mediate the characteristic L-shaped molecular structure. tRNAs have two regions of fundamental functional importance: the anti-codon, which is responsible for specific mRNA codon recognition, and the 3' end, to which the tRNAs corresponding amino acid is attached (by aminoacyl-tRNA synthetases). tRNAs cope with the degeneracy of the genetic code in two manners: having more than one tRNA (with a specific anti-codon) for a particular amino acid; and 'wobble' base-pairing, i.e. permitting non-standard base-pairing at the 3rd anti-codon position. Lineage: Archaea; Methanobacteriati; Thermoplasmatota; Candidatus Poseidoniia; Candidatus Poseidoniales; Candidatus Poseidoniaceae. The record is from RNAcentral.